Molecule: non-coding RNA, 295 nt
Filed under: Ananas comosus (pineapple)
Lineage: Eukaryota; Viridiplantae; Streptophyta; Magnoliopsida; Poales; Bromeliaceae
Description: Bacterial large subunit ribosomal RNA
Rfam family: Bacterial large subunit ribosomal RNA
Source: Rfam by way of RNAcentral
GAAUUUUAGUUAAUUCAUAUUUUUAGCUAAGUUUAUUUUUUAAAAAAAUAAACAAAGUGGGUAGCAUCAGAUAAGUUUCAUCGUCGAGAGAAAAACAGUCCGGAUCACCUGCUAAGGCUCCUAAAUAACUGCUCAAUGAUAAAGGAGGUAGGGGUGCAAAGACAGUCAGGAGGUUUGCCUAGAAAUAACCACCUUUGAAAGAGAGCGUAAUAGCUUACUGAUCGAGCGCGCUUGUGCCGAAGAUGAACGGGGCUAAGCAAUCUGUCGAAACUGUGGGAUGUCAAAAUGUGACGCC